Molecule: ribosomal RNA, 440 nt
Filed under: uncultured bacterium
Lineage: Bacteria
Description: partial 16S ribosomal RNA
Rfam family: Bacterial small subunit ribosomal RNA
Source: RNAcentral
CCUACGGGGGGCAGCAGUGGGGAAUAUUGCACAAUGGGGGAAACCCUGAUGCAGCGACGCCGCGUGAGGGAAGAAGUAAUUCGUUAUGUAAAGCUCUAUCAGCAGGGAAGAAAAUGACGGUACCUGAGUAAGAAGCCCCGGCUAACUACGUGCCAGCAGCCGCGGGAAUACGUAGGGGGCAAGCGUUGUCCGGCUUUACUGGGUGUAAAGGGAGCGGAGACGGCAGUGCAAGACUGGAGGGAAAGGAGGGGGCUCAACCCCCGGACCGCUCUGGAAACUGUAAGGUUGGAGGGGAGGUGGGGUAAGUGGAAAUCCUAGUGGAGGGGUGAAAUGGGUAGAUAUUAGGAGGGACACCAGUGGCGAAGGGAGCCUGCCAAGCCAUGACCGACGCUGGUGCAGGAAAGCGUGGGGAUCAAACAGGAAUAGAUUCCCCAGUAGUC